Hippocampus zosterae (dwarf seahorse) is the source of this 645-nucleotide long non-coding RNA. RefSeq lists it as uncharacterized. The record is from RefSeq and is a predicted model, not a curated record. NCBI's taxonomy places the organism in Eukaryota, Metazoa, Chordata, Actinopteri, Syngnathiformes, Syngnathidae. The transcript is spliced from 2 exons.
UCCAUGAUAAGUAAUCCAUCCAUCCAUUUUCCGAUCCGCUUUAUCCUCACAAGGGUCGCUGGGGGUGCUGGAGCAUAUCCCGGGCGUCUUCGGGCAGUAGACGGGGGACACCCGGUUGCCAGCCAAUUGCAGGGCACACAGAGAUGAACAACCAUCCGCGCUCACACUCACACCUAGGGACAAUUUUGCGUACUCAAUCGGUCUGCCAUCCAUGUUUGUGGAAUGUGGGAGGAAAUCAGAGUAUCCAGAGAUGAUAAGUAUUCAUUUGUCUUUUUUUCUGCACUGCGUGCAUUUUUUCACACAUAAGGUUAAAUCGUUCCAAAAGGUGUGGCUUGAACAAGCUAAAGUCCAGAAAAAAAUGAAAUGUUAGAUUUGGAUUUUAAACUGCAAUAAAACCCCAUAAUAUGUAAAAGUAAGUACACCGAAGUAAUAUUUUCUUCACUGCUUAAAAUUUAAGUAUUAAAUUAUGCAGUACAAACAUGGUUAAAUAUGAAACCAUUGUUGAAACUUAGUGAAUUACGUUAUGAUUACACUUUAAAAGGGCUUUGGUUCUGACAGGGUCUUCCCCCGAUUAUUGUAGGACACUGGAAGAUUUUUGACAUUGUAAUAUAUGGAGUGCUAUUAAAAAACAAAAAAAAAAAAAAA